RNAcentral lists this long non-coding RNA (499 nucleotides) under Carica papaya (papaya). Its description in RNAcentral is "long non-coding RNA (CPAP_LNC004650)". Lineage: Eukaryota; Viridiplantae; Streptophyta; Magnoliopsida; Brassicales; Caricaceae. The record is from RNAcentral.
UGUGCGUACAACGUACACGUCCCCUUCGUGCGCACAACAUGGGGUCAGGACCUGCGCGCACGUCCUGUCGCACGCAGGCGGGCCAUCCACGUAGCACUUCGCGCACAGACUGGUGCCACACAUUUGUGCGAGUGUUAUCCGCAUAACAGGCCUACCCAGACAGACCCUGUGCGCCUGGGGCCUGGGUGCACGAUGCCAAUACGCCUAAGCCCUGUGCGCGCACAAGCUAGCCCCCUGCGUGCACAGCAACAGGCCUAUGCGCCUACUAGCUAGCCUGCAGCACUCUGGUCGAGCACUGCCACCUCAAGCAAUACACCGUUGCUGCCUUGGGCGACGCGCCACCACCGUCACUGCUGAUAGAGGAAAUUUUCCUCCCUCAUUUUUUGUGCGAAGAAUAUUUUCUCCUCUCUCUUCACCAGAUUGUGCCACUUGGUGUAAAUUCAAUGAUUCUAAAAUUAUAUAAAUUGUGCUUCCCUUCCUCUCCACACUUCUAUUUCUU